This 406-nucleotide ribosomal RNA is filed under the name uncultured bacterium. RNAcentral describes it as "partial 16S ribosomal RNA". It matches the Rfam family "Bacterial small subunit ribosomal RNA", at positions 30 to 526 of the family's 1533-position model. The record is from RNAcentral.
AUUGAACGCUGGCGGCAGGCCUAACACAUGCAAGUCGAACGAGUGGCGGACGGGUGAGUAAUGUCUGGGAAACUGCCUGAUGGAGGGGGAUAACUACUGGAAACGGUAGCUAAUACCGCAUACCAUCGGAUGUGCCCAGAUGGGAUUAGCUAGUAGGUGGGGUAACGGCUCACCUAGGCGACGAUCCCUAGCUGGUCUGAGAGGAUGACCAGCCACACUGGGACUGAGACACGGCCCAGACUCCUACGGGAGGCAGCAGUAGGGAAUAUUGCGCAAUGGGCGAAAGCCUGAUGCAGCCAUGCCGCGUGUAUGAAGAAGGUCUUCGGGUUGUAAAGCACUUUCAGCAGGGAGGCGUUACCUACAGAGGAAGCACCGGCUAACUACGUGCCAGCAGCCGCGGUAAUUC